Molecule: ribosomal RNA, 468 nt
Filed under: uncultured Anaerolineaceae bacterium
Lineage: Bacteria; Bacillati; Chloroflexota; Anaerolineae; Anaerolineales; Anaerolineaceae
Description: bacterial SSU rRNA
Rfam family: Bacterial small subunit ribosomal RNA
Source: RNAcentral
UCAAAGGAAUUGACGGGGCCCGCACAAGCAGCGGAGCGUGUGAUUUAAUUCGAUGCUACACGAAGAACCUUACCCGGGUUUGACAUGCAAGUGGUAGUGAUCCGAAAGGUGAACGACCCGCAAGGGAGCUUGCACAGGUGUUGCAUGGCUGUCGUCAGCUCGUGUCGUGAUAUGUUCGGUUAAGUCCGCUAACGAGCGCAACCCUCGCUGUAUGUUACAUGUGUCAUACAGGACCGCCGGUAUCAAGCCGGAGGAAGGUGGGGAUGACGUCAAGUCCGCAUGGCCUUUAUGUCCGGGGCUACACACACGCUACAAUGGUCGGUACAAUGGGUUGCUAAGCCGCGAGGUGGAGCCAAUCCCCCAAAGCCGGCCUCAGUUCAGAUUGCAGGCUGCAACUCGCCUGCAUGAAGCUGGAGUUGCUAGUAAACGCGCGUCAGCUAUAGUGCGUUGAAUACGUUCUCGGGCCUU